AGUGAACGCUGGCGGUAGGCCUAACACAUGCAAGCCGAACGGCAGCACAGGAGAGCUUGCUCUCUGGGUGGCGAGUGGCGGACGGGUGAGGAAUACAUCGGAAUCUACUCUGUCGUGGGGGAUAACGUAGGGAAACUUACGCUAAUACCGCAUACGACCUACGGGUGAAAGCAGGGGACCUUCGGGCCUUGCGCGAUUGAAUGAGCCGAUGUCGGAUUAGCUAGUUGGCGGGGUAAAGGCCCACCAAGGCGACGAUCCGUAGCUGGUCUGAGAGUAUGAUCAGGCACACUGGAACUGAGACACGGUCCAGACUCCUACGGGAGGCAGCAGUGGGGAAUAUUGGACAAUGGGCGCAAGCCUGAUCCAGCCAUACCGCGUGGGUGAAGAAGGCCUUCGGGUUGUAAAGCCCUUUUGUUGGGAAAGAAAUCCAGCUGGCUAAUACCCGGUUGGGAUGACGGUACCCAAAGAAUAAGCACCGGCUAACUUCGUGCCAGCAGCCGCAGUAA
RNAcentral lists this ribosomal RNA (506 nucleotides) under uncultured bacterium. RNAcentral's name for it is "partial 16S ribosomal RNA". It matches the Rfam family "Bacterial small subunit ribosomal RNA", at positions 29 to 523 of the family's 1533-position model. The record is from RNAcentral.